RNAcentral lists this ribosomal RNA (536 nucleotides) under uncultured bacterium. Its description in RNAcentral is "partial 16S ribosomal RNA". It matches the Rfam family "Bacterial small subunit ribosomal RNA", at positions 355 to 880 of the family's 1533-position model. The record is from RNAcentral.
UGGGGAAUAUUGCACAAUGGGCGCAAGCCUGAUGCAGCCAUGCCGCGUGUGUGAAGAAGGCCUUCGGGUUGUAAAGCACUUUCAGCGAGGAGGAAGGUGGUGAACUUAAUACGUUCAUCAAUUGACGUUACUCGCAGAAGAAGCACCGACUAACUCCGUGCCAGUAGCCGCGGUAAUACGGAGGAUGCAAGCGUUAAUCGGAAUUACUGGGCGUAAAGCGCACGCAGGCGGUUUGUUAAGUCAGAUGUGAAAUCCCCGGGCUCAACCUGGGAACUGCAUUUGAAACUGGCAAGCUAGAGUCUCGUAGAGGGGGGCUAGAAUUCCAGGUGUAGCGGUGAAAUGCGUAGAGAUCUGGAGGAAUACCGGUGGCGAAGGCGGCCCCCUGGACGAAGACUGACGCUCAGGUGCGAAAGCGUGGGGAGCAAACAGGAUUAGAUACCCUGGUAGUCCACGCUGUAAACGAUGUCGAUUUUGGAGGUUGUGCCCUUGAGGCGUGGCUUCCGGAGCUAACGCGUUAAAGUCGACCGCCUGGGGAG